RNAcentral lists this ribosomal RNA (1343 nucleotides) under uncultured bacterium. RNAcentral's name for it is "16S ribosomal RNA". It matches the Rfam family "Bacterial small subunit ribosomal RNA", at positions 28 to 1378 of the family's 1533-position model. The record is from RNAcentral.
GACGAACGCUGGCGGCGUGCUUAACACAUGCAAGUCGAACGGAAAGGCCCUGCUUUUGUGGGGUGCUCGAGUGGCGAACGGGUGAGUAACACGUGAGUAACCUGCCCUUGACUUUGGGAUAACUUCAGGAAACUGGGGCUAAUACCGGAUAGGAGCUCCUGCUGCAUGGUGGGGGUUGGAAAGUUUCGGCGGUUGGGGAUGGACUCGCGGCUUAUCAGCUUGUUGGUGGGGUAGUGGCUUACCAAGGCUUUGACGGGUAGCCGGCCUGAGAGGGUGACCGGCCACAUUGGGACUGAGAUACGGCCCAGACUCCUACGGGAGGCAGCAGUGGGGAAUAUUGCACAAUGGGCGGAAGCCUGAUGCAGCAACGCCGCGUGCGGGAUGACGGCCUUCGGGUUGUAAACCGCUUUCGCCUGUGACGAAGCGUGAGUGACGGUAAUGGGUAAAGAAGCACCGGCUAACUACGUGCCAGCAGCCGCGGUGAUACGUAGGGUGCGAGCGUUGUCCGGAUUUAUUGGGCGUAAAGGGCUCGUAGGUGGUUGAUCGCGUCGGAAGUGUAAUCUUGGGGCUUAACCCUGAGCGUGCUUUCGAUACGGGUUGACUUGAGGAAGGUAGGGGAGAAUGGGAUUCCUGGUGGAGCGGUGGAAUGCGCAGAUAUCAGGAGGAACACCAGUGGCGAAGGCGGUUCUCUGGGCCUUUCCUGACGCUGAGGAGCGAAAGCGUGGGGAGCGAACAGGCUUAGAUACCCUGGUAGUCCACGCUGUAAACGGUGGGUACUAGGUGUGGGGUCCAUUCCACGGGUUCCGUGCCGUAGCUAACGCUUUAAGUACCCCGCCUGGGGAGUACGGCCGCAAGGCUAAAACUCAAAGGAAUUGACGGGGCCCCGCACAAGCGGCGGAGCAUGCGGAUUAAUUCGAUGCAACGCGUAGAACCUUACCUGGGUUUGACAUGGAUCGGGAGUGCUCAGAGAUGGGUGUGCCUCUUUCGGGGUCGGUUCACAGGUGGUGCAUGGCUGUCGUCAGCUCGUGUCGUGAGAUGUUGGGUUAAGUCCCGCAACGAGCGCAACCCUUGUUCACUGUUGCCAGCACGUUAUGGUGGGGACUCAGUGGAGACCGCCGGGGUCAACUCGGAGGAAGGUGGGGAUGGCGUCAAGUCAUCAUGCCCCUUAUGUCCAGGGCUUCACGCAUGCUACAAUGGCUGGUACAGAGAGUGGCGAGCCUGUGAGGGUGAGCGAAUCUCGGAAAGCCGGUCUCAGUUCGGAUUGGGGUCUGCAACUCGACCUCAUGAAGUCGGAGUCGCUAGUAAUCGCAGAUCAGCAACGCUGCGGUGAAAACGUUCCCGGG